RNAcentral lists this unclassified non-coding RNA (3250 nucleotides) under Eurytemora carolleeae. Its description in RNAcentral is "major facilitator superfamily domain-containing protein 12". The record is from RNAcentral. Lineage: Eukaryota; Metazoa; Arthropoda; Copepoda; Calanoida; Temoridae.
UCAAGCGUUUAGUUGUCCCUGUAUUGUAUAAUGUAUUUAUUAUCAUAAUUUCAGUAAAUAUGUAUUUUUCCUAAAUCUGUAAUUUCAUUUCCUACCAUUUAUCAGUCACAAAAUCUGAAGCGUGAAAUCUCUUUAAAAAUGUUUCAAAUGUAAGCUAACGCUCUGUCCUGUGAUACCAGGUAGAAUGGAACCCCUCACUCUGACCGGAAAGGUCGGGUUUGGGCUGGGUCAUGUACUCAAUGACCUCUGUGCUUCUAUGUGGUUCACCUACCUCCUUUUGUUUUAUCACAAGGUUUUGUACUUUAACAACAGUUAUGCCGGUGUUAUCUUACUAGUUGGACAGAUUGCAGAUGGCUUGAGCACAACCUUUGUUGGAUUUUUGAGUGAUAGACCUGACAAUACCUGGCUGUGUAGGAAGUACGGAAAGAGAAAAUCUUGGCAUCUGCUGGGAACCAUUUGUAUCCUUGGGAGCUUUCCUUUCAUCUUCCUACAGUGCCUGGGCUGCGGGGAAUCUGAUGAGUGGGCUCAGCUGAUUUACUAUUCUGGGUUUGCUGUAAUAUUUCAAUUUGGUUGGGCCUGUGUUCAAAUAUCCCAUCUCUCCUUAAUCCCAGGACUCUCGUCGUGUCAAAACGAUAGAACAGGACUCACAGCUAUCAGGUAUUCUAUGACUGUAGCUUCUAACAUUUGUGUUUACCUGAUUGCUAUGGCAUUCUUUGGCCUUGGAGACUCCGGAACCGAACUCUCUGAUCAGGAUGAAGACAAAUUUCGGAACUUAAUGUUGAUCGUGAUUGGUCUUGGAACAGUGGCAAGCAUUCUCUUCCAUCUGCUGGUCAAAGAGGAGGUGGAGCACAGGAUAAUAGUAACAGAGGAAACUAAAAGAAACUAUCUCUCAGCUUCAUAUUGGUUUACAGAACCACAAUUCUACAUAGUAGCAUUGUUGUAUAUGAGCACAAGAUUAUUUGUAAAUUUGUCUCAAACGUACAUUCCACUGUAUAUUCAGGAAUCUCUUGAACUACCCACCAUCUAUAUUGCUAUUAUCCCUCUUGUAAUGUACAUAUCAGGGUUCAUAACAUCAUUCCUUAUGAAGGUUUUGAACAGGAAAGCAGGUAGAAAGGUGACCUACCUCCUCGGGUCAGCACUCUGCUGUUCAGCUGCGGUUUGGGUCUUUGUCGGCGCAGGAGAAAAGCAAACUGGAACCUUCUUCCGUGACUACGGAAUCUUCUUUACCGUUGUACUGUACGGGUCUGGGGGCAGUACAAUACUUAUAACUAGUCUAGCACUCACUGCAGAACUCAUAGGAAAAAAUCAUGGUUCUUCAGCGUUUGUUUACGGUGCUAUGUCUUUCACUGACAAGGUUUCUAAUGGUCUGGUCGUCAUGUUGAUUCAGUAUUUGAUUCCGUGCCUAAAGUGCUGUCCGGAGUGCAAGUGGUUUUUCCGCGACGUUCUCUUCUACGCAACUGGUGGUUCUGCUGUUCUUGGUAUUAUAUCGCUCCUCAUUCUUUCUCCCUUCACUGUAGGAGAACGCAGGACACCACUUAUUAUUGAAGGACAAGAAAUAGGAGGAAGGAGGACAAGUUUACAGGGCGAAAGGAGGACAAGUUUACAGGGAGAAAGGAGGACAAGUUUACAGGGAGAAAGGAGGACAAGUGUACAGGGAGAAAGGAGGACACGUAACCCAGAACAAAAAAGAAGUAACACGGAAGAACCAACUGAAAGAACACCUUUGAUUUAACAAUAUCCGCAAAAAAACUCUCCUUUGAUUUUGCAAAAUCCGCCAAAAACUGAUGAAAAUUAAAAAUGGCGCCAAGGGCUAGAAUCAGCUGACAAUCGACCAAUAUUAAUUGAUUUCCGAAAAUGAUAGCUUUUGUCUUCCAUUACGUUUCAUUUCGUAUUUUAAAGCAUUAGCUUCUACCAUGUAGAAUGUUUUAUUUACAUUAUAGUUUUAAUCAGUUUUAGUUAUUUUCGAGGUUUAAACAUUUGCGAACAUUUGCCCUUUGCAAGUUUCUCAUGGUCAAAUUUAGUAUAACAGCAUUUGUUUCAAGAAAUAUUUUGUUUAAUGUGUUGUCUAAAUCUUUGAUAACGAUGACAAAAAUGUUGUAGUUUUUCUUAGAAAUGAGCCAUUCUCAACCGUUUAUUGGCACAAAGCAAAAAAGACUUGAAACGAUUAUUUUAAAAGAAAUUAUAACAAGGCCGCCAUAGGUGUAUCUCAUAAUGCUUCUGGUAACCCCAAACUACCUUGAUAGCCCCUUUAAAUUCAUAACAUAAAAGUAUACUCCAGUUCUGUGAUAAUUAUAAAACUCAUUCCGUCAUAAAGUCUAUAAUUUUUAAGUUCCAAACCGAGUUUCAUACAGUGGUCGGUUUUCAUAUCAAAACAACGAAGACGACUUUCUAUUAAAUCGCCUUUAUUGUAUUGAUGGAUACGACGACGAUUGAAUUCGGGCUCAAAUUCGGUUUAGUAUUUUCCUUCUGUCUUCUUCAUUUUUUUCUUCAUUAGAUUUUUUAAAUUUUUUUUAUUGUUUUAGUCACACUCACAACUCACACUCGCGGCUUAAAAUUUGGCUUUGCAAAACUUUCAAAUUUGAGCUUUUAAAUUUAAUUCGAUUUUAAAUCUACAUUCAACUAAAUGGUUUUUUGUAGGUUAUUAUAAGCGUCUCAUAAAAUCCAAACAAAAUGAUUCGUAAUAAUUUCGUUUUCGUUUACCCUCAUUUAUAUUUGCUGUAAUUCAAAUACAAUGUCACAUUCUUUCUAACCGCCAUAUAAACUUCUCUUAAGUUUUGUGACAAUAAUAUUGAAAAGUCUUGUUUCUGGAAAAGAAUUUAUUAUUUCCUAGUGUUCUUUUUAUUUUAAGAUGAUGCUUAUAUUUGUGUUGACCAAUCUACAUACAGUUAGAAACAGAAAACUGUGGAAUAGGAAGAGAACAUUAAAGUAAAUAAGUGUAUUCGAUGGUGUUACAAAGCAAGUAGUUUUAAUAAUUUAUUUAUUUUAUCACUUAAGUAAAAUGGGUCUGUUUACACUGCGCAAUUGUUGUAUCUUAAACGUUUAAUUGACUAUUUAGACAUAACUUGAGCCUAAAAUUCGUCUUCAUAUUCCUGAGUUUUCUGGUUCUCACUGCAAGUACACAAAUACUGUUGGUCACAUCGAUUUAGAAAAAAACCUUUUGUAAUUCUAAAAAAUGACAUUUUAUAGAUAAUUAGUAUUUUAUUUUACAUUUUGUUCAAUUUCUCUAAUAAAUAAAGACUUUAAAUUAUUA